Brachypodium distachyon (stiff brome) is the source of this 1415-nucleotide RNA transcript. RefSeq lists it as uncharacterized. NCBI's taxonomy places the organism in Eukaryota, Viridiplantae, Streptophyta, Magnoliopsida, Poales, Poaceae. The record is from RefSeq and is a predicted model, not a curated record. The transcript is spliced from 8 exons.
AAGAACUGGGCGCAUGCAGAUGCAGGACCAAACACGAAACUAGCUCAAACAACCGACUGGAAUUGGGCUUCAUGACUGGAAUUCGUUCAGAAAAAAAAAUGUCCCGUCGUUCCUUGGACGGUUGGACCUAACACAACCCAUGAGGAAACAUAUUUUUCUCAAAUCUCAAUAUCGGCGCGCCCUAGGGCGAGAUGGAGACGACGAGUUCUUCCGGAGGCGACGAGACUCAGGGGUCAGGAUUGGUGGAGGUACAAGUGGCUACGGCGGCGCUGCGGCGGUCAGAAGUGUUCCACAUCGUGAAGGAGCUCCUGGGCUUCGUCCUGUACAUGCACCACCAGAUCCCCUCAUAAAUGGGAUUCUUAUGUGUAAUUUGAUAUGGCUGCAUUUCCUAGGGCAAGAGCCCGCCUCUUGCCAGACCUCUUGCAGUGGACAUAGGGUUUUGCAGAAUCUUGAAAAUGAAUUUACAGAUCUAAAGGAGGAAAUGACAGAAAUGGCAAUACCACCAGCAGAACUGAAACCUUCUGAUCAGAGGAAGUACAACACACGAAAAAGGGAGGUUAGGUGCAGAAUCAAGAAGCGGCAGAAGUUAAUGAAUGGCAUCUCUACCUUACUUUCCGCUCUUCAGCAAGCACUUGAUGAAGUUUCUAGAAUAGAAGGAAUUGCCCUGAUUCUUGGUGGGAGCCUUGUACGGCCUUUGUUUGUCUAUGACAUUACAGUUUCUCAUGGUAGAUUUGAUUCUGGAGGUACCAAAGAGCAUGCGACAACCAAGUUAGCUCAGUCUGUUUCUCGAAAGGCCAUCCGAGCUCUUAUAUCAGGUGGUGCAGGGAGUUUAUCAUACACAGGGCCUACCAAGCUGUUUCUUCUGGUCAGAUGUCCCUGUACAUUGAACUUGCCCCUGGAUUUCCUGCCAAAACGUGAUUUUCGUUACAGUUGUACCCAAGCAUAUGUCCAUAAAAUGCAAUUCAUCAUGCUAUCAGACGAAUAAUGAGCAUGUUGCAUCAAUCUUGGAUGCUUCAUGUUGCAAUUCAGAAUCUUCUCCUUCAGAUGUUAUCUGGUUCCAGUGCAAGCACACGAUAAGAGGCUUACCAUGCAAGGCGUCAUUAGAAGGAUGAUCUGGCUUGGGAGUGUCUGGGCUGACCCUUACAAGGUCAUUUCUGUUGUACCGACAUUUGUAAGAAUGGACAAUGCCGUAGCGAGGUGAACCCCAGUUCUGGCUCGGUAAAUACUCGCGAGAAAGGAUCAGUAUCCUCAGUCGCAACAUGUGUUCCCCAUUUUCGUGUUCAAUGUACUCUCUGUUUGCAUGGGAAUUAUUGUGCCCAGCUCCCUAGUUACUAGCAUUGCAGAAUAUAAAUUGGGCAAUGUAUCAGGUGAAACGCUAUAUUGGUGCAUAUCAGGGAGCUUUCACCUCAACAGAA